RNAcentral lists this ribosomal RNA (614 nucleotides) under Hepatozoon sp. Its description in RNAcentral is "SSU rRNA". The record is from RNAcentral. Lineage: Eukaryota; Apicomplexa; Hepatozoidae.
AAAUCAASGAGKGCGAUGCAUCUUKCAGCUUAGAUAAAAAGCCAAUGCAUGCUUUUACAGUAUGGAAAUUGGUGAUUUAUAAUAACUUAGCAAAUCGCAAAGUGAAAACAGGCGAUAAAUCAUUCAAGUUUCUGACCUAUCAGCUUUCGACGGUAUGGUAUUGGCUUACCGUGGCAGUGACGGUUAACGGGGGAUUAGGGUUCGAUUCCGGAGAGGGAGCCUGAGAAACGGCUACCACAUCUAAGGAAGGCAGCAGGCGCGCAAAUUACCCAAUUCUAACAGUUUGAGAGAGGUAGUAACAAGAAAUAACAAUACAAGGCAAUUAAAAUGCUUUGUAAUUGGAAUGAUAGAAAUUUAAACCCUUUUUAAAGUAUCAAUUGGAGGGCAAGUCUGGUGCCAGCAGCCGCGGUAAUUCCAGCUCCAAUAGCGUAUAUUAAAAUUGUUGCAGUUAAAAAGCUCGUAGUUGAAAUUCUGCUAAAAGUAACCGGUCUGCUUUUAAUAAAAGUGGUAUCUUGGUGUGUAUUUAGCAAUGAUGUCCUUUGAAGUGUUUUUUACUUUAUUGUAAUAAAGCAUAUUCAGGACUUUUACUUUGAGAAAAYUAGAGUGUUUCAAGC